AGCGAACGCUGGCGGCAGGCUUAACACAUGCAAGUCGAGCGGACCUUUCGGGGUCAGCGGCGGACGGGUGAGUAACGCGUGGGAACGUGCCUUCCGGUUCGGAAUAACCCUGGGAAACUAGGGCUAGUACCGGAUACGCCCUUAUGGGGAAAGGUUUACUGCCGGAAGAUCGGCCCGCGUCUGAUUAGCUAGUUGGUGGGGUAACGGCCUACCAAGGCGACGAUCAGUAGCUGGUCUGAGAGGAUGAUCAGCCACACUGGGACUGAGACACGGCCCAGACUCCUACGGGAAGCAGCAGUGGGGAAUAUUGGACAAUGGGCGCAAGCCUGAUCCAGCCAUGCCGCGUGAGUGAUGGAGGCCUUAGGGUUGUAAAGCUCUUUUAUCCGGGACGAUAAUGACGGUACCGGAGGAAUAAGCCCCGGCUAACUUCGUG
RNAcentral lists this ribosomal RNA (433 nucleotides) under uncultured bacterium. Its description in RNAcentral is "partial 16S ribosomal RNA". It matches the Rfam family "Bacterial small subunit ribosomal RNA", at positions 29 to 507 of the family's 1533-position model. The record is from RNAcentral.